AGUGUUGAGAGAGCUUUUUUUUCCUGUAAGCCUUUGCUACCCAGUCCGCCACUCUAUUUCUAUUUCUAUUACAAUAUUGGAGCUUAAUAUUAGAGAAAGAAAGAAGCAGUUCACGAGCUUCGCAGAUGAGGGUCCUCUGUUCCCAUGGCAGUUUUUGCGAAGCUUCCACGUUGUUGACUAAGGUAAAGCAGUCUGACUCCAAAGUCAUUUUAUCACCCGCCCGAGACAAGAGGAAAUGAAGGGUUUCUAUCAAAGCUAAACACUCAGCUUGCUCGGCGGAGGAGACGAGGACAUCCUUCGCGAAGCCGUCUGUCAAGAUCCCAGACGAGUUGCGGCACACACAGGCGAUGGAUCCUUCUAAUGAACCAGUUCCUGAGCAUUUGUUGUCCUCUCUCUAUCAACGCUUCUGGGUCCGGGAGAUGAUUUCUGAAUACCAGGCCGUUCCUUGCUUUCCAUAUUUCCCAGAGAAUAAUCAAGACUAGCUCGAAUUGAGAAUAGGCGCUUCUCAGACUUCCCUUGUCCAUUUGCAGAGAAGAAAUAGAUGUUCCAGCGUCUCUGCAUGAGUUUCGCAGUAUGGGCAAGUCGGAUCAGGUACCAUCUUCCUUCUGUACAGGUUAUCCUUCGUCGGGAGUGCAUUUUGACACACACUCCAGAUGAAAUUUCUGAUUUUGUGUGGAGUUUUCAUUUUCCAAAUUCUGUUCCAGAGCUUAGUUGGGGGUUGAUAGGAGGAGGAUGCGUUCUGUGUUACCCUGUUUUCAAUCUUUCGUAUGUUGUUGUAGCAGCUCUUAACAGAGUACUCCCCUUCCCUCGUGCCAGUCCAGAUCAGCUUAUCUUCGUUCAUCUGCGGUCUAAUUUGUACCGUGAGAAUCUCUCGCACUACCUUUUCAUCAAAUACCCUUCGCAGGACUGGUUCCUUCCAUGUGUGGUCUUCCUGAUUUAUCAGAUCAGCGACCAAUCUUGGAUCCCCUACAUUCGCCGGUCCCCCUAUCCUUCCCCGUCUUAGCCACUUAUCCUCCCUGAUGUUGAUGUUCUGUCCAUUCCCAACCGACCACAAUACCGAAUCUUCAAUUGAUGUUCUUCCCAUAAGUAUGCUCUGCCAUCCCCACGAUGGUCUGGAGCCCUUCUCUGCCUUCCAGAAACAUUUAGUUGGGUAGUAGAUACCUUUCAGCACCUGACUACAUAGAGUUUUAUGGUUCUGUGCUAGCAUCCAAGCCUGUUUUCCCAACAUUGCCUUGUUAAAUGAUAUUAAAUCCCUAAACCCAAGGCCUCCCCUGUCUUUUCUCUGUUUUAGGAUUUCGGCUUUUCUCCACUGAACUCCUUUUGUUGCGGUUUGAUUCUUCCACCAGAAGGUUAUUAUUUUUUGUUCGAUUGCCCGACAUACUGAAACUGGGAUCUUGAAGAUUGACAUGGCAUAUUGUGGUAAUGCUUGGACAGCAGUUUUUAUCAGGAUCUCUUUCCCCGCUUUAGACAUGGUAUUUUCUUUCCACCCUUCGAGCUUCAUAUUUACCCUUGCCAGGAUCCAAGCAAACAUUUGCUUUUUAGAAGCUCUCCAAUCAGAGGGGAUUCCCAAGUACUUUCCUGUUUUUUCAAUCUCCGGGACCCUUAGUUCUCUAGCCAUGUUCCUUCUUAGAUCACUAGGGCAGUCCUUGCUGAAGAAUAUUCCCGACUUGUUCAAAUUGACUGCUUGUCCCAAUGCAAAGCAGUACUGGUUUAUGAUGCUCGCUAGAUUCUGGCAUUCUAGUUUCUUCCCAUCUAGGAAGAAUAUUGAAUCAUCUGCAAAGAGUAGGUGAGAGAGUACAGGGCAGUUUCUAUUCAGCUGUAUCCCUUUUAAAGUGCCGUCUUACAUGGCUUUUUUCAUCAUCAUGGACAGGAAGUUUGCUACCAGGAUGAAAAGGUAUGGGGAUAAGGGGUCACCUUGCCUUAUUCCUCUUGUUGGUUGGAAGUAGGGCAAGGGUUCCCCAUUAAGUUUAACACUCAGUGAGGUUGUUGUAACGCAUUGCAUUAUCAGAUUUACCCAUCUUUCAUUGAACCCCAUUGUAAUCAUACCAGCCUUUAAGAAGUCCCAUUCGAUCCGAUCGUAAGCCUUUUGCAUGUCUAACUUUAAGACCGCCUGAAAUUUUCGUUUGCGCUUCCGGACCCUUAUUUGGUGCAAGACUUCCUGGACAACAAGAAUAUUAUCCUGAAUUUGCCGUCCUCCUACAAAGGCACUCUGUUCAACUUCUAUCAACUCUGGGAGCCAUGGUUUCAGUCUAUUAGCUAGUACUUUCGAAAUGAUCUUAUAUGCGAAAUUGCACAAGCUUAUGGGUCUAAACUCUUCUAGCUUCUCUGGGUUUUUCACUUUUGGCACCAAGGAAAUGAGUGUUCUAUUCAACUGAGGAUCAAGCACGCCAGUGAGAAAGAAGUUCCUGACCUCUGAUACUACUUCCUGCUUUAUAUCUUCCCAGUAAUGUUGGAAGAAUUGUCCAUUCAAACCAUCCGAACCUGGGGCCCUCGAUGAACUAAGCUGGAAGGUAGCUUGCUUGACUUCCUCUAGUGUAACUUCCUCGAGCAGCCUGAUAUUUGUUUCCUCCUUAACUCUACAUGAGCAAUAUUGAAGUAGUGGGGUGAAUUGUCUUUGACCAGCUGAGGUAUACAGAUCCCUAAAGAAGUCAUAGGACAUCGUCUUUAUUUGCUCUUGGUCACGGGUCCAGUUCCCUGUAUUAUCCUUCAGCAUUGAAAUUUUGUUUCUGUGUCUCCUUUGUAUAGUUGAAGCGUGAAAGAACUUGGUGUUUUGGUCUCCCCA
Molecule: long non-coding RNA, 2782 nt
Organism: Syzygium oleosum
Lineage: Eukaryota; Viridiplantae; Streptophyta; Magnoliopsida; Myrtales; Myrtaceae
Exons: 3
Source: RefSeq, a predicted model, not a curated record